Molecule: ribosomal RNA, 496 nt
Filed under: uncultured bacterium
Lineage: Bacteria
Description: partial 16S ribosomal RNA
Rfam family: Bacterial small subunit ribosomal RNA
Source: RNAcentral
AUGAACGCUGGCGGCGUGCCUAAUACCUGCAAGUCGAGCGAACAGACGAGGAGCUUGCUCCUCUGACGUUAGCGGCGGACGGGUGAGUAACACGUGGAUAACCUACCUAUAAGGCUGGGAUAACUUCGGGAAACCGGAGCUAAUACCGGAUAAUAUAUUGAACCGCAUGGUUCAAUAGUGAAAGACGGUUUUGCUGUCACUUAUAGAUGGAUCCGCGCCGCAUUAGCUAGUUGGUAAGGUAACGGCUUACCAAGGCAACGAUGCGUAGCCGACCUGAGAGGGUGAUCGGCCACACUGGAACUGAGACACGGUCCAGACUCCUACGGGAGGCAGCAGUAGGGAAUCUUCCGCAAUGGGCGAAAGCCUGACGGAGCAACGCCGCGUGAGUGAUGAAGGUCUUCGGAUCGUAAAACUCUGUUAUUAGGGAAGAACAAAUGUGUAAGUAACUAUGCACGUCUUGACGGUACCUAAUCAGAAAGCCACGGCUAACUACGUG